RNAcentral lists this ribosomal RNA (331 nucleotides) under uncultured eukaryote. Its description in RNAcentral is "partial 18S ribosomal RNA". It matches the Rfam family "Eukaryotic small subunit ribosomal RNA", at positions 1470 to 1796 of the family's 1831-position model. The record is from RNAcentral.
CCCUUAGAUGUUCUGGGCCGCGCGCGCGCUACACUGACGAAGUCAGCGGGCAUGUCCUACGCCGACAGGUGCGGGGAAUCUUGUCAAACUUCGUCGUGAUGGGGAUUGAUUUUUGAAACUCUUGAUCAUAAACGAGGAAUUCCUAGUAAGCGCAAGUCAGCAGCUUGCGUUGAUUACGUCCCUGCCCUUUGUACACACCGCCCGUCGCUACUACCGAUUGAAUGGUUUAGUGAGAUCUUCGGAUUGGCGCCACUGCGGCUCAGCAAUGGGCUUGGUGGAUGCCGAAAAGUUGAUCAAACUUGAUCAUUUAGAGGAAGUAAAAGUCGUAACA